RNAcentral lists this transfer RNA (69 nucleotides) under Gymnothorax moringa (spotted moray). Its description in RNAcentral is "tRNA-Met". It matches the Rfam family "tRNA". Rfam says of the family: Transfer RNA (tRNA) molecules are approximately 80 nucleotides in length. The record is from RNAcentral. Lineage: Eukaryota; Metazoa; Chordata; Actinopteri; Anguilliformes; Muraenidae. RNAcentral also lists the same sequence under 1 other name.
AGUAAAGUCAGCUAAAUAAGCUCUCGGGCCCAUACCCCGAACAUGUUGGUUAAAGUCCUUCCUUUACUA